Long non-coding RNA from Medicago truncatula (barrel medic), 887 nucleotides. RefSeq lists it as uncharacterized. The record is from RefSeq and is a predicted model, not a curated record. The transcript is spliced from 5 exons. NCBI's taxonomy places the organism in Eukaryota, Viridiplantae, Streptophyta, Magnoliopsida, Fabales, Fabaceae.
UAGAAGUCUACUAGCAAAGAAACUUCUUGAAAGAAAAAAAAAAAUCAAUAAAAAAAUAACGUAAUUCAAUCUCAAAACGAAAAACCUUCUUUGCCCAGGUGAACCACUCAAUCCCUGAAGCUUUCGAAUUCCAAUCCUCAAACAUGGAAUUCAGUUCCUUCGAAAAUCUCCAACCAUCUUUCACGGUUCCCAGAACCCUGAAAAUACCCUUUCUUACUUCUUCGAUUCUACCCUCGAAUAAUCUCACACCUCUUCCGAAAAUUCUACGAAUCCUUUGGGAAAUCUAUGCUGUUUCAAAAUUUCAGAGCCCGCAUCUUGUUCAAACAAUCUCUGAAGGCCGUUGCGGCGACGACGACGUUUGCUGUGAUUGACGAACGUACCGGAUCCACAAAGUGGUUCAUUAGUUUAUAAACUUGAAGAGCUGCUACUAAAGUGAGAAGAUUGAGACUACUAGCUGAUUCAAUGGCGUUGAUGGGAUGAAAUUAGAUUUUGCGGACAAUCAAGAGUAGUUUGAUCUCUUUGAGAAGUACAAGCUUGUGAUUGAUAUAUGGUUUUUGGCGAAGGAUGUUGGAGUAUUGGACGUAGUCUAUGUUGCAUAGGUACAGGAAAGGUUAUUGAACAAAUAAAAGAAAAGCUUUUACUAUCUGAUCAGGACCUACAUACUAGUCAGUUGGAGCAAGGCUUAUGGUUUAUAACAAUAGACAACUUUUGAAAACCAGUCCAGAUGAAUGGCUAAUGAUGAUAUCGAUGAAGAAUUUUAAGAUUUAGAAGUACAAGAGAUGAAGACAGAUGUUUAUGUUCAAGUGUACGUUAUUUGGAUUGUGAAAAUGAUAAUUGACAUUUUGAGUUAACAAUACCCAAUUAAAUAUUCGAAUACUUUAUUGUGA